CGCGCCCGUCCGCGCGCUCCCCUUCUCGGCCGUUGGCGGCCUCAGGGCGCGCCGGUCUCCGAGCUCCAGGCUCCCCGCCUCUCGCUUCCCUCAGUCCUGCUCCGGGCGACACGCUCCCACUGUGCAGGUUCGAACCCCUGCCUCCGCGUCCUGCUCUGGUCUGGGGAAAAGGCGCCCGUGGGAGUAUUUGCUGGAGUUUAUCUUUUGGAAGGACCUGCAGUGCUGGUUUGUUGUUUUUUAAAUGUUUUUAUUGAUUUUAGAGAGAGAGGAAGGGAGAGGACUGGAGAGAUAGAAACAUCAAUGAUGAGAGAGAAUCAUUGAUCAGCUGCCUCCUGCAUGCCCCUACUGGGGAUUGAGCCUGCAACCUAGGCGUGUGCCUGGACUGGAUAUUGAACUGGUGACCUUUUGGUUCAUGGGUCAACGCUCAACCACUGAGCAACACCAGUCGGGCUGACCUGGAGAGUUUUGAAGGGUCUGGAUCACCACUGUGUUUUGUUUUGUUUUGUUUUUCUACAUGUGCUUUCCUCCUUCAAGCUCCCUCCCUCCUCCACUUCGAUUUGGAAUAUAGUAAAUCUGAGUUGCAGUACUGAGUCUGCCAAUUGCAGUGUCACCUUGGUCAAGUCACUUAACCUCUCUGAACCGCCUUCCUCAACUGGCAAAUGAGGGAGUGACUGAGAAGAUUCCUAAGGCCCUUCCAGCUUUCUCAGUCUCCUCUCUCAAGCACCAGGCUCCUGUCCCACAGUCUUUUCUCAGAAGCAGCUAUUGCAGGGUAAGGAUCAGAGAGACCUAGCGUUGGGACCCAGUUUCCACUGGGACUAGCUGUGUGAACUUGGAGGUCAGUGUUGGCAGCUCCCAUCACUCACUGCUCUGCCUGCCCCACCUCCCCCAGCAUCCAGCCUGGGCUGGGGGAAGCUGCUCCAGAAGGAAGGUGUGUGGCAGCAGGCACUGUCUGGGCCAUGGAGGCUGGAGCUGGGUGGCUGCCUAGAGUGAGAAUCCCAUGUGUCUGGGGAGGACCCCGCCUGGGUAGUCCAGUCCCAGCUUCCAGCCCUGCAUCACCACCUGGUUCUGCCUGAAGAUUCUCAGAGGUCACUGGAGGAGGAGGCUGAAGACUCACAAAUACUUCAAAUUUUUUUUUUAUGUAACAUCUUUCUUGUAAGUCUAUCCCCCUCUCAUAACAAAAGUAUUGUGUAUUAUUCAUGGAGAAUACAAUUAAUCAGAGAGGAGGAAAUUAAACUUUCUUAACUCAGAA
Long non-coding RNA from Myotis lucifugus (little brown bat), 1249 nucleotides. RefSeq lists it as uncharacterized. Lineage: Eukaryota; Metazoa; Chordata; Mammalia; Chiroptera; Vespertilionidae. The record is from RefSeq and is a predicted model, not a curated record. The transcript is spliced from 3 exons.